CCUACGGGAUGCAGCAGUGGGGAAUAUUGCACAAUGGGCGAAACCCUGAUGCAGCGACGCCGCGUGAGUGAAGCAGUAUUUCUGUAUGUAAAGCUCUAUCAGCAGGGAAGAAGAAAGACGGUACCUGACUAAGAAGCCCCGGCUAACUACGUGCCAGCAGCCGCGGUAAUACGUAGGGGGCAAGCGUUAUCCGGAUUUACUGGGUGUAAAGGGAUCGUAGACGGUCUGGCAAGUCUGAGGUGAAAGCCCAGGGCUUAACCCUGAGACUGCUUUGGAAACUGGUAGACUAGAGUGCUGGAGAGGUAAGUGGAAUGCCUAGUGUAGCGGUGAAAUGCGUAGAUAUUAGGAGGAACACCAGUGGCGAAGGCGGCUUACUGGACAGUAACUGACGUUGAGGCUCGAAAGCGUGGGGAGCAAACAGGAUUAGAUACCCUAGUAGUC
Molecule: ribosomal RNA, 441 nt
Filed under: uncultured bacterium
Lineage: Bacteria
Description: partial 16S ribosomal RNA
Rfam family: Bacterial small subunit ribosomal RNA
Source: RNAcentral